AGAGUGAACGCUGGCGGUAGGCCUAACACAUGCAAGUCGAACGGCAGCACAGUGGUAGCAAUACCAUGGGUGGCGAGUGGCGGACGGGUGAGGAAUACAUCGGAAUCUACCUUUUCGUGGGGGAUAACGUAGGGAAACUUACGCUAAUACCGCAUACGCCCUUCGGGGGAAAGCCGGGGAUCGCAAGACCUGGCGCGGAUAGAUGAGCCGAUGUCGGAUUAGCUAGUUGGUGAGGUAAUGGCUCACCAAGGCGACGAUCCGUAGCUGGUCUGAGAGGAUGAUCAGCCACACUAGGAACUGAGACGACGGUCCAGACUCCGUAACGGGAGCAGCGAGGUAGGGAAUAGUUGGAACAAGGUGGGCACGAAGCCUAGAUACCCAGACCCAAGUACCCGGACGGUGGGUA
This 406-nucleotide ribosomal RNA is filed under the name uncultured soil bacterium. RNAcentral describes it as "bacterial SSU rRNA". It matches the Rfam family "Bacterial small subunit ribosomal RNA", at positions 26 to 420 of the family's 1533-position model. The record is from RNAcentral.